AGUGAACGCUGGCGGUAGGCCUAACACAUGCAAGUCGAACGGCAGCACAGUAAGAGCUUGCUCUUACGGGUGGCGAGUGGCGGACGGGUGAGGAAUACAUCGGAAUCUACUUUUUCGUGGGGGAUAACGUAGGGAAACUUACGCUAAUACCGCAUACGACCUACGGGUGAAAGCAGGGGAUCUUCGGACCUUGCGCGAUUGAAUGAGCCGAUGUCGGAUUAGCUAGUUGGCGGGGUAAAGGCCCACCAAGGCGACGAUCCGUAGCUGGUCUGAGAGGAUGAUCAGCCACACUGGAAAUGAGACACGGUCCAGACUCCUACGGGAGGCAGCAGUGGGGAAUAUUGGACAAUGGGCGCAAGCCUGAUCCAGCCAUACCGCGUGGGUGAAGAAGGCCUUCGGGUUGUAAAGCCCUUUUGUUUGGAAAGAAAAGCAGCAGGUUAAUACCCCGCUGUUCUGACGGUACCCAAAGAAUAAGCACCGGCUAACUUCGUG
This 492-nucleotide ribosomal RNA is filed under the name uncultured bacterium. RNAcentral describes it as "partial 16S ribosomal RNA". It matches the Rfam family "Bacterial small subunit ribosomal RNA", at positions 29 to 507 of the family's 1533-position model. The record is from RNAcentral.